AACUGAAGAGUUUGAUCAUGGCUCAGAUUGAACGCUGGCGGCAGGCUUAACACAUGCAAGUCGAGCGGGGGUAAGGUAG
Molecule: ribosomal RNA, 79 nt
Filed under: Acinetobacter baumannii ABNIH23
Lineage: Bacteria; Pseudomonadati; Pseudomonadota; Gammaproteobacteria; Moraxellales; Moraxellaceae
Description: partial 16S ribosomal RNA
Source: RNAcentral